Molecule: long non-coding RNA, 977 nt
Organism: Leopardus geoffroyi (Geoffroy's cat)
Lineage: Eukaryota; Metazoa; Chordata; Mammalia; Carnivora; Felidae
Exons: 4
Source: RefSeq, a predicted model, not a curated record
AAAUACAAAGUGUUCCCAGUGCCUUUGAUGCAGGAGUUAAUGAAGCGUUCGUUUAGGCGGCGGAGGCACAUGCUAAGAAAACAUGUCUAAGGAAGGGGGUCAAUCUUUAUUGAUCACUACCAGUGCGGGGCGUUUCAUGCAGUUACUCUUACUUGCAUACUCCGUCAACCUAGUAUGGUAGGUUUCUUACCCAUUUGCAGGGCAGGGCAGGGCAGGGAUGAUCAGAGCAGUCAGAUAAUUUUGGCCCCUACCCCACAGCAAAGCAGAAAUGCUGGGUUGCUGUCCUGCUGUCCUGAGUGUGCCUCCAGGACCUGUGGUCUCCAGGAAGCCCUGCCCCGCAGGGCUCCUCCCUGCACAGCUGGAGCCCCAUCCUCCGGCAGCAGGUCUUGUGCAUAAUCCUCUUGUGUGUCAUUUACCUUACCUCUCUUUAAAUUGCAUCACAUUAACAGCCUUUGAGUCUCUCCAGGACCUCUGGAAUUCCACACGGACCUUUCCUCCAGCAGCUCCGCCGUGUUUGGGGCAGCUCCUGCAUCCCUGGAGCCAAGUUUCAACGUCUUUCUCCUACUGUGCGAUCAAAAUUCUCUGCACACAUUAUGAGCCUGUUGAGUCUUCUCACUGAAGCCUGUGGAGCUGGGAAAGGAGUGAGGAAAGCGAAUGAUGAUGCUUUUCCCGCUGGCUGUGAAGACACCGCCCAAGGCUGCGCAGUCACACGGCUGAUGUCCCUGGAGGGCUCUUGUCCAGAGUAUCCAGGAAAUGCUUCAAACCUCGGGGGAACUUUUCCAGAAGAUGAGCUUUGGGAAGCCCGUAAGGAAUCGUUUUCUUUCCAUCAUUCUGGGGCUGACGCAGUCAACAAUAACGAAGUGAUGGCAGAGCCCCACCGCUGUGGUACCAAUUUCACGAAGGCACCGAGAGUGAACCACGAUGCACGUUUUGAAUCGUAUCUGACUGGUGGCUCUGUUAUUCCGAGCGCCGUGCUA